Molecule: unclassified non-coding RNA, 427 nt
Filed under: Melitaea cinxia (Glanville fritillary)
Lineage: Eukaryota; Metazoa; Arthropoda; Insecta; Lepidoptera; Nymphalidae
Description: misc RNA ENSMCXG00005007616.1
Source: RNAcentral
UAAAUAAUAGAUAUAUAAAAAAAUCUACAUAUUACACUCGUGGAGCAGAAAGUACUGCGAAGUGCCCAAGAUGUAUAUUUACAUUGUAACAAAAAAUCAAAAUAAUCUAAAUACAUUACCACAACGCUUGCUCAUAUCACUAAAGAAAAGUAUAUAAAAUAAAGUUUCACAUAAAGCCAGAGGUAAUAAACAUUUUAUUAAAACAGCAAAUUGUUUGCUUUAUAUGGAUUAUAUUAUAUGUUGUUUUGCUGGUAAUCAAAAUUUAUUUGAAUUUUAAUAGACUUUAUUACAUCUCAACCAACCCUGUAACAGACGAUUGACAAGGGUAUCUUAAUAACGAGACCCCUUUGGCAACUAUUGAGUAUGAAACCUUUAUGAUCUUCAAAAGGUACUUUGUUUAUUUUACAUAUAAAAUGUCCUGAGAGUA